GCUAUGGUAGUUUAAUAAAACAUUAGUCUGUGACACUAAAAAUGGAAGUAAUCACUCCCUAUAACU
RNAcentral lists this transfer RNA (66 nucleotides) under Brookesia therezieni. RNAcentral describes it as "tRNA-His". It matches the Rfam family "tRNA". Rfam says of the family: Transfer RNA (tRNA) molecules are approximately 80 nucleotides in length. Their secondary structure includes four short double-helical elements and three loops (D, anti-codon, and T loops). Lineage: Eukaryota; Metazoa; Chordata; Lepidosauria; Squamata; Chamaeleonidae. The record is from RNAcentral.